UCCUGUAGCAAUGGGCUCUCGUUACAACUCUACACCGCGAUGCACACCAUGUCGCGGUCAUGCCUCCUCCCUCACCACCUCCUGCAGCAGCGGGUGCUCGCCUCGGCUCUGCACUACGAUGCACGCCACGUCAUGACCGUGCUCCAGCUCAUCCUACACGCCGCACCAUGCGGCUAACCAUGUCCAGGUCCAACACACAAUGCAGGCAUCACGCAUGGCGACAUCGGGAGAGACGUGAGGGAGAGGAACUGACCUACUCACUUCACGCGUGACACAUGACUACGGUGGAAACGGCUGGCGCCAAGACUACAGAGGAACUCAAUUAAAGGCAUCAUAAGGUUCAAGGAUGUGAUGGGAUGUCCAGUUUUUUUCUAAAUUUUGUUGAAGAUUUCACUCAUUUAUGUGUCAGAAAAGGUUUGGAAAUUCAUGCUCGCAUAUAGUAAGGUUGAAAUAGUUACUUGCUUUGUUUCUUAAAUUGUA
Zea mays is the source of this 480-nucleotide long non-coding RNA. RefSeq lists it as uncharacterized. The record is from RefSeq and is a predicted model, not a curated record. Lineage: Eukaryota; Viridiplantae; Streptophyta; Magnoliopsida; Poales; Poaceae. The transcript has 3 exons.